RNAcentral lists this long non-coding RNA (8453 nucleotides) under Lynx pardinus (Iberian lynx). The record is from RNAcentral. Lineage: Eukaryota; Metazoa; Chordata; Mammalia; Carnivora; Felidae.
CUACUGGCCCGGGAUGUUCCCAUGUUCAAGGGAAGGAGGGAGGAGUCCCCAAAACACUGAUCUGCACUGAACACACAGACAAUGGCCAGACCAUAUGGGAAAACAGACCUCGGACAUCCACAGCCUGCAGAAACCCGCCCAGGAAAUCACCUCCUCAAAUACAGUAAACCACCCAGGUAAUCCAUAGGUCCCGUUUGUAACAAGUCAGACUAUGUCUAGGAACAAUUCAGAAAGCUAACCACUAACUUCUAGAAUAGUUGGCUCAAAAUGGCCAGAACUGACAACUUCCCUAACUUUUGUCCACUGUGCAACUUAGGACCAGCCAGAGAGUCAAAUAUGCACCCCCAACCAGUCAUACAGGAUGCCUGGCUUCUAGUCACCUGCCUUCCAGCUUCCCCACGCCAACAGCCUCCAGAGAAGGCACCAGGUACCUGAAUCUUUCCCAUUUCUCUGCUAUAAAUAAAGCUUUACCACCCCUCCACCUACCCUGGAGUCUCUUUUAAAAUGCAAGUGACCAUGGCUGACUGACUUCCCUUGCUGUAGCAAGCUCUUGAAUCAAUAGCCUUUGCUUUUCUCACUUGUUCGGGCUUCGUUUAUUGGCCCAGGAAUGGCAGCUCAGGGAGCGAGGCGAGGACGGGCCUCAUCAGUACCCUUGGUCCCACUGGGGUGGAGCUCAGAGCCCUCAGACGACAGAGUUGCUGGCUGGUCCGCUGGAAACACUGAUCAGACCUUUGGACUCAGCUGAGCCAGGGCUGGAGAUGCCAAAUUGACUCAGAUUAAAUCCCCCGGGCAUAAAAUCACAAAAGAGUUUUUGUUAGAUGCUGAUUGGGAAGGAGGGGCCCCAGAGAUCUGGGAAAAGGGUAGGACAUCUGGGAAUAGAGAAAUGAGGGAGAGGCAGGAACUUUGCCUAGAGCGGGAGCCAAGGAUGGCCUGGAGCUACUUUGAUGGGAUGGAGAGUUGAGUCACGAUUCAUAUCUGAUCUCCAAGAUUCUUUAGUCAAUGCAGAGACAUUUACUGAGUGCCCCCUUCUGGGCACUAGAGGUGGGACACGCAAGGCCUCUGACUUCCCGGAGCUCGUGUCCUGGUGGCAGGGGCGGUAGAUGGCUACAGAAGUCAGACAGCUUCAGAAGAGUAAGCGCACUGAGGAAAAUGAAAUGGGAUGGUGCCCUCGAGAAGGAGUGCCGAGAGCGGGGAACACACGAGAGUGGCUGGGGAGGGACACCAGAAGGAACCAGCACUGCAGCCAACAGGGGAAAUGGUUUUCCUAGCAGAGGGAGCAGCUUAAGCAAAGACCCUGAGCUGAGACCUGGGUGUGACAGAAAGGUCGGUGUGGCCAGAGCUGUGUGGGCAGAGGGUGAUCGUGGCUGGAGGGGACCAGGAGGGACGUUCAGGGACACCACGAGUAGAGGGCCUCCCAAGCCAUUCUAAGAGUUUAGAUUUUAUUUGGGCCUCAGUAUAACGGAGUUUUUGAAAGAAGGCACUGAACAGCUUGCUUGCUUAAGCUGCUCCAUCAAGGCCUUAGAAGCUCUCCUUUGUUGAAAUCUUGUCAAAUCCUGGCAGGCAGGGGAAGUGUGUAUGUGGGGUAACAGUGUUAAGGAGAGAAAAUGUGGAUCAGACCCAGACACGUCACAACCAGAAUUCCUUGCUGAGUAGGAUCAAAAGGGCCACAAGAGUGUGUUAUAAUCCCCUGAAAUUGCACACUAAUUUGUGUGUGUGUGUGUGUAUAUACCCUAUUUCAGUGAGUUUUUUCAAACUCUCAGAGGAAUCUCUGCCACCAGAAAAAGCCAGAAAGGGAGAAUAUUAACUUCUAUGCUAGCAUACCCAUGCACCAUCCCAGUAAGGACACAGAUACUGCCCCGAGGAGGGGAAGGGGGGGCGGGGCAGGACAGGGAACUUUCCACUGUGUACCAUGUGCUUUACCUAUUUUUAAAAGUCCACUUCAGUGUAAAGGACUGAAGCUGGAGAGGAAUGGAUGGGUGGGGAAGAAGGUGCCGAAGCCUUGGUGUGGCCAGGGAGGGGCAGCAACACAUAUCUGCUGGUCCUAACUUGACGGCCCCACCCCUAGCCUGUGCUCACAUGCCUUGCACUGGAGAACCCCGCCCAGAGAGGCCGCACUGGCCCUGAGCCUGCCCAGAGCUCAGCUGCCCAGGGGGCACCAGCCUCACUGCCCCGGGAGAGGGACAGGAACAGAUGCCCUCUGCUCAAGUCACCAAACUCUGCUCAGGUCACUGUCCUCUGCCCAUGUCCCGGGCCCCUCUGGUCCCCAAACCUUCACAGAGAGAAGCCCGAGCCUCCUGAACACCCUGCUGACCCCACCAGGAGCUCCUGGCUCUGAUCUGAACCCGCCUCUUUUCCCAGCCUCUUGGUUGGUCAUUUUGCUUUGAGUCAAGUCCCCCUUGCUCUGCUUUCGUGUGGUGCCGUGCCCAGCCCCAGCCUGGCAGAUGGGAGCUGAGAUGGGGGUGUUUUCUCUAAUUCUCUCCAACAUCUCGGCUUGGAUUUGCUUCGCCUCCCCAAAAAUAGGUCUGGCCCAGCCUUCAGGACCCACCUGUUCUCAGCGAUCAGCCAGUGGGCAGGGACCAGCCUCCCUGGGGUGUUCACUUCUUUGGUGAUUCAGGGCCACGGGUCAGAGAGCAGAGUCAGCCGCUGAUGACAUUUCCCUGCCAGGAUGCAGAGCAGGUGAGGGCCUCCUGGUCCACCCUUGGAGAAGGGACCAAGGAGGUUCUAUGCAAGUCAGUUAAACCACAGAGCAGACCUUGCAACACCUUCCUCCUGAGGCCUUGGGACCAGACGGGGGUAUGCAGGCAGACACCUACACUUGCAUAGCCAAACAAUUCUACGGCCCAUUCUUCUAACUCUAGAAUAAGUGCAUAAUAACACCAACCGAUAUUUGUGGGGACUUACUGUGGCCAGGCGCUAUUCAGUUAAAGACUUUAUGUGUAUCACCUCAUUACGGGGUGCCUGGGGGCUCAGUCAGUUAAACGUCUGACUUCGGCUCAGGUCAUGAUCUCCCAGUUCACAAGUUCAAGCCCUGCAUCAGGCUCUGUGCUGACAGCCCAGAGCCUGGAGCCUGCUUUGGAUUCUGUGCCUCCCUCUCUAUCUCUGUCCCUCCCUUGCUAGUAUUCUGUCUCUCUCUCUCUCAAAAAUAAAUAAAAACAUUAAAAAAAAACAAAACUCGGGGCGCCUGGGUGGCGCAGUCGGUUAAGCGUCCGACUUCAGCCAGGUCACGAUCUCGCGGUCCGUGAGUUCGAGCCCCGCGUCGGGCUCUGGGCUGAUGGCUCGGAGCCUGGAGCCUGUUUCCGAUUCUGUGUCUCCCUCUCUCUCUGCCCCUCCCCCGUUCACGCUCUGUCUCUCUCUGUCCCAAAAAUAAAUAAAACGUUGAAAAAAAAAAAAAAAAAAACACAACACCAUAGGCAGUGGCAUAGGGAUGUCCCCUUUGCACACAGGGAGCUGGGAUGUGAACCCGGGCAGGCUGGGAAUACUGUGCCUGUAGCGCUCAUGAAUGAAAACAAAGGGAUCUGCAGAAGGGCCCCACAACCUUGCACAAAUGGGAUCCGAUCUGUGGCCCAGUCACCAGAGGACAAAAGCAUGGGUCCUGACUGUUCCACACACUGAGUGUGCAAUGCGGCUCAUUCCAGCCUGGAGUAAGAGUCCCUGGAUCCCCCACCACUCUGCACUCCAGGAACCUGUGGCCCAGGGCAGCUCAAGACCUCCUGGACCCUUUCUUUUGUAACAUAAGGAGACAGCCUACACUGCUUCACCCCUCCCAGUGCCAAAAGGCCACUUAUCACUUAGGGUGACUGUACUUAAGCCCCCACUACCCCCCCCCCCCGCAGGGAAUCCAGGCUGAGCCCACCACGCCUUCUCCCUGCCCCUGCCCUAAGUGCUGGGCCAGAAGGUGGGAGACCCCAGUCUCGGCUCCCGCUUGGUGGAAUGUUUGGCACCUCCUGCCUCGUUUUUCUCAUCUGAUGCAUGGCUGGAAUGUCCUCCAGUGCACCCCCACUUUACAAGGUUUGGGGGAAGAUCAGAUGAGAGGAUGAAUCUGAAGACCCUAUAGGGACUGGGAGGCCCUGGGCCUGGUGAAGAGUUUGGGCCCGUGGUGUGUCUCUGAACCCCCACGUGCUGGUGUCUCCCCGCCUCUGGAGCGGGACGGGAUCUGCAGGGAGAGGACGGUGGCUGGUACUGGGCCUAACUGCCCCUCCAUCACCUGACUGUCCAGCUGCCCCCUAUGGCAGCGGACCCUGCCCAGGGGUGAAGGAACAGGGACGGGAGGAGAGCGGCCAGCCACAGCCGGAGCAGGAAAGCUGGGGAGCCAGGCUGGAGUCCCAUAUGGAACAGGAGGCCGCUGAGUAGGGACCACCACACUUCCCAGCCCCGGGAAGGGCAGGGGUCACUGGAGAGCCCAGGAAAUCCCAUCAGGAAUAGUGGCGCACCUGUGUGUUUGCCAGAGGUGACCUGGGCCCGUGGCCACAGGCGCUGGGUCACCUCUUGCUGCAGCAAAGCCUCAGUCUGGUUCUGACUUUUGGUCCUCAGUGUGUUCUGUCUCCCCUAUUGUUCUGGGGCACCUGCUGGACUUGUGCACCCCUUCUUUCCCCCGAGAGUUUUUCGGCUACUCUUGGGGCUUGCUCACCCUGUAUGGCAAAUAUUUCCUUCCUGGUUUAUGUCUCCGGCUCUUCUGGGCUUAUAAUGGCUCAGUGGACAUUUCUGCCUAGAAAUGUCUGGAUUUUGCUGAAGUUUCCCCUCAGCAUACACCACACACAAGAGGUGACUGAGAUUUUUAUCACGCAGUCCUCAACACCAGGUCCUGCAGGGGAAACCAAGAAGUAUGAGGCAAAGCCCCUGCCCUGGGCAAUUCAUAAUCUAGUUUUUUGGGGUUUUUAAAAUAAUCUAGUUAUUCAAAAGUGAGAGGUGCCUGGGUGGCUCAGUUGGUUAAGCAUCCAACUUCGCCUCAGGUCAUGAUCUCAGGGUUCGUGAGUUUGAGCCCCGCGUCGGGCUCUGUGCUGACAGCUCAGAGCCUGGAGCCUGCUUCAGAUUCUGUCUCCCUCUCUCUCUGCCCCUCCCCCACUCAGGCUCUGUUUCUGUCUCUAAAAAAUGAAUAAACCUUAAAAAAAAUUUUUUUAAUAAAGGACUAGGCAAAAUGCCUCUAAAGUUCCACACUGUUCUAGGGUGAGGAGAGAAAGGCUUAAAGAGGACUCUAGGAUUUUGAACAACAGGUGAGAAGUCAGGAGAGGAAGCAGGUUCGGGGAGAAGACUUCAUUCAGUUUUAAGUAAACCGAGUGGACCUCAUCACGACCCUUCCUUCCCCCAGGUUCCAGGUGCCACUGCCACAGACUGACCUGGUGUGUCCCCGCCGGCUCCUCCGCCACGUCCCUCCUCUGGGCGUGUGACCCUGGCUGCGGCAAGGUCAGAGCAAGAAAGACGGACUGACCUUUGCUCCAGGAUAUUUGUCAGCUUCUCUCAGUGAAUAAACAGCUUUGCCGUCACCAACACAGUCUUUCUGGAAACUCAGCUGGCGCUGCUGAGUGCCCAAAGGUGAGGGUGGGAUCCCCGAAAUUGACAAUUGAGUUUCCAUCGCCCUAGGGUCAGGAAAGCUUGAAACAAAUUAUUGAGAAAGAAAUUGAAAUGUGGUUCCUUCAGACCUGUGUUCCAGCACCCAGAUUAGGACCCGGUUCACAGGCAAACCUCCCCAUGAGUGGUUUAGAUGAGGGGCCUCAUGCCCGGGCGUGCACCCAUCACCCAUGGAGCUCAGGAACGAGAUCACCUAGACUGGGGACCCGGCACCUGUAAUUUAAUAAUCCCCACGGGUGAUCGGCAGGCACACCUGAGUGACAGGCCCCCUUGGCCUGGAGAGGACUGCCAUGGCCAGAGGGUUGGGCCAGGGAGAGACAUGGACAGAGAUGGUCCUGGGACACCAGGAGUUCCCUCAGAGAGACUGAGCUGGGGCUUGGCAGGUGGAUGUUCCGAGCACAGAGGGGAGGGAGAGCAGAGGGCCUUCUAGCACAGGCCCUGGCUGAGGGGCUCAGCCUGUUUGGGGUGGGGGUGAAGUUGGAGAGGCUAGCUGUGGCCACAGGGCAAGGCUCUGAAUGCCAAGCUCAGAGCCAGGUAGAUACUGACGCUGCCAAGAGCAGGGAAGGCUGUGAGCAGAGAAGGGAGACCCUCUCCAGUACCGGUGGGCCCUUGUUUGUGCAUUCAGGGCUUUUGAGGCCCCUGAAUGAGCCAAGGCCUGUGGUCAGAGGGCAAGCCCACACUUCCUCCUGCCUCAGCUCGCCUUUCCUUCACAUCAUGCCCCAACUCUUCUAUUUCUGACUUCAAGUCCUUGGCAUGUACGAAAUUCUUGCCUCUCCUUUGGCAGCCCUGCCUGCCUCUGUACCCUUAUUCUUACCCUUUUAUGUCUGCCUUUCUUAGGCCUUCAGCACAGUCUGUCCAGAUUAAUUUGACACCAAACUGGCUUUCUCCAGAAAGGCAGGGAAAGUUCUAGGCACAAGAGUGAGAUUCAUGUGGGGAGAAUUACCGUGGCCCCUUCUUUAAGGCAGUUAGAGUCCUGUGUGUCCAGUAACAACCCAUGAAGAAAGAAGCUAUAUUCUUGAUGCACAGGUAGUAGAAAUGACUUGCUCACAUUCUGGCCCAGAGACUCUGGCUCUGCUCUGUAACAGUGAAAGUGACACCUUCCUCAAACCGUGACUAGGACCCACAUUGCUUCCAGAACCUGCUCUCUCUGUAUACCUCUGCUCUGGUGGGAAAAUUCUUUUUUUUUUUUUUUUUUAAUUUUUAAAAUGUUUUUAUUUUUGAGAGACAGAGAGAGAGCACAAGUGGGAGAAGAGCAGAGAGAGAGGGAGACACAGAAUCCAAAGCAGGCUCCAGGCUCUGAGCUGUCAGCACAGAGCCCGACACGGGGCUUGAACCCACAAGGCAUAAGAUCAUGACCAGAGCCAAAGUUGGACACUUAACUGACUGAGCCACCCAGGCGCCCCAUCUGAUGGGAAAAUUCUUAAUUUACUUGUACAAUUAGGUGAGGGGUUGGAAAUUGGGCCCAUUUAUCACAUGGACUUUUAUUCUCUCGUAGAAGCCUCUUUGGGCUGAGAAGAUAUGUGUCUGUCACCCUCCUUACUUGGGAAAAUGCACUGUGUCCUGCUCUGAAUUCACAUCUGUAGUUGAUCUUGGAACUGGUCACAGUACUAUGUGUGGCCAGUACAUGAAGUGCACUCCCAGACCCAAGACCGAAACAAUAGGUUGCUGUGUUUUCUCAGAGUGCUUGGAGUCCUCGAGCCUCAUCCCCACUACCACUAGCCAGUGCUUGUCCUUCUUUCUGUGACCUGGCCCAUCUUCCCAAGGCACCUUUCCCAUCAGCUCCUGCUGAACCCAAGCCAGUCCACAGCACCACACACUGUGGUCCCAGAGCCCCAGGGCGACAAGGAGUCCGCCAAGCUGGGAAGACAUCACAGAACUCAGUCCUGGUGGCACACGUCUGGUGCCAGAUUUCUUAGGAAGAAAAUCAGCUUCUGCCCAGACAGCAACAUAACUUUUUCCCCCAAUCCCUGGCACAGAGGCCGGGCCACGAUCGCCAACCUGCCGUGAGAACACAGGAAUAUGUCCACUCUGUCACCGGCAAGUCCUGGCAGAGUCUUGCUGUGUUCUGAGACAGCACCCUCAGUGGAGAACUCCGGGCAUCAUGUCGAGGCAGCUUGAAGUCUUCACUGGAGCCAGAGUCUUGAUCUAUGUGGCCCAUCAACUAAAAAAAAAGUUUGAACAGCAUCAUUAACCUAACACGACUUACUUUUCCAUAGGACUCUAAGCUUUCACAUGCAUGCUGUCAUUUUUAUUUUGGUUUUCACAGUGGCCUGUGAAGUAGGUAAGCUGGAUACUGUCGUUAGUCGACGUUCAGAGGUGACAGAGCAGCAGCUUAGCGUGUCUCAGGCCACACGACCCCCAAAUGGCAGAACCGGGACUGGAGUCUGGAUCAGCACCGUCCCCUGACGGUUAACCUCUUCGGGACCCAGUGCCAAGUCUCCCCAGCUUGCAGCAGCAGCGACCGCACGGACCACCAUGGGCUCCCAGGCCCCGCCAGCUGCAAGGGCACGCAGACACUGAUGAAUGUUCUCGAAGAUCCUAAAGACAAGGCUGAGCGGAAGCUUGCAUCAGAGGGACAGGUCCUGGCCAAUUGUUCCCCAUCCCUGGUGACAGGUACCAUCUUAUUAAAUCUGUAAAUCGGUUGUGCUGAGACUAUAACAGAGGAUAUCGUCUGAGGAACCUUCCAAUUUAGCAGACAAUGAGUAUCCGCAAACAUUUUGGGGGCCUGAUCCAGAAGCUCUAGCUUAUGGCCAUGUCUUCCAAACACAUAUGGAAGAAGAUACGCACAUGGGUCCAAACCACUUAGCACAGUUGUCAAAGGACUGAUGAUACUGUAAACUUAAUGGCUGCCAAGGUUAUGUCCAAUCAAUUCAUUCAGUUCCAUAAAG